This 368-nucleotide ribosomal RNA is filed under the name uncultured eukaryote. RNAcentral describes it as "partial 18S ribosomal RNA". It matches the Rfam family "Eukaryotic small subunit ribosomal RNA", at positions 592 to 975 of the family's 1831-position model. The record is from RNAcentral.
UAAUAGCGUAUAUUAAAGUUGUUGCAGUUAAAAAGCUCGUAGUCGGAUGUCGGGCUCGGGCAGGCUGUCGGCUUCGGUCGGACGGCAGGCUCGGGUCUUUCUGCCUGAGGAUCCAUCUCAUUCACUUGGGGUGGGGACGCAGGCCGUUUACUUUGAAAAAAUUAGAGUGUUCAAAGCAGGCCUACGCUUGAAUACAUUAGCAUGGAAUAAUGGAAUAGGACUUUGGUGCUAUUUUGUUGGUUUAUGGGACCGAAGUAAUGAUUAACAGGGACAGUUGGGGCCGUUUAUAUUUCGUUGUCAGAGGUGAAAUUCUUGGAUUUACGAAAGAUAAACUUCUGCGAANGNAUUCGGNAAGGAUGUUUNCAUUG